RNAcentral lists this ribosomal RNA (496 nucleotides) under uncultured bacterium. Its description in RNAcentral is "partial 16S ribosomal RNA". It matches the Rfam family "Bacterial small subunit ribosomal RNA", at positions 28 to 507 of the family's 1533-position model. The record is from RNAcentral.
GAUGAACGCUGGCGGCGUGCCUAAUACAUGCAAGUCGAGCGAACAGACGAGGAGCUUGCUCCUCUGACGUUAGCGGCGGACGGGUGAGUAACACGUGGAUAACCUACCUAUAAGACUGGGAUAACUUCGGGAAGCCGGAGCUAAUACCGGAUAAUAUAUUUAACCGCAUGGUUCAAUAGUGAAAGACGGUUUUGUUUUCCUUAUAGAUUGAUCCGCGCCGCAUUAGCUAGUUGGUAAGGUAACGGCUUACCAAGGCGACGAUGCGUAGCCGACCUGAGAGGGUGAUCGGCCACACUGGAACUGAGACACGGUCCAGACUCCUACGGGAGGCAGCAGUAGGGAAUCUUCCGCAAUGGGCGAAAGCCUGACGGAGCAACGCCGCGUGAGUGAUGAAGGUCUUCGGAUCGUAAAACUCUGUUAUUAGGGAAGAACAAAUGUGUAAGUAACUAUGCACGUCUUGACGGUACCUAAUCAGAAAGCCACGGCUAACUACGUG